Molecule: ribosomal RNA, 292 nt
Filed under: uncultured Methylophilaceae bacterium
Lineage: Bacteria; Pseudomonadati; Pseudomonadota; Betaproteobacteria; Nitrosomonadales; Methylophilaceae
Description: partial 16S ribosomal RNA
Rfam family: Bacterial small subunit ribosomal RNA
Source: RNAcentral
GUGUCAGCAGCCGCGGUAAUACGUAGGGUGCGAGCGUUAAUCGGAAUUACUGGGCGUAAAGCGUGCGCAGGCUGUUUUGUAAGUCAGAUGUGAAAUCCCUGAGCUCAACUUAGGAACUGCGUUUGAAACUACAAGACUAGAAUAUGUCAGAGGGGGGUAGAAUUCCACGUGUAGCAGUGAAAUGCGUAGAGAUGUGGAGGAAUACCAAUGGCGAAGGCAGCCCCCUGGGAUAAUAUUGACGCUCAUGCACGAAAGCGUGGGGAGCAAACAGGAUUAGAAACCCCCGUAGUCC